UCAGACGAUGCGUCAUGCAUAUCAAUAAGCGGAGGAAAAGAAACUAACAAGGAUUCCCUCAGUAACGGCGAGUGAAGCGGGAAGAGCUCAAAUUUGAAAUCUUCAAGGUUUUACCUUGACGAAUUGUAGUUUAAAGAAGUGUUUUCUGCUGAAGUUUUGGUAAAAGUUCUUUGGAAUAGGACAUCAUAGAGGGUGAGAAUCCCGUAUUUGACCAUUAUUUUCAGCUUUGUGAUACACUUUCAAAGAGUCGGAUUGUUUGGGAAUGCAGUCCAAAAUGGGUGGUAAAUUUCAUCUAAAGCUAAAUAUUGGCGAGAGACCGAUAGCGAACAAGUACCGUGAGGGAAAGAUGAAAAGAACUUUGAAAAGAGAGUUAAACAGUACGUGAAAUUGUCAAAAGGGAAGCGUUUGACACCAGUGUUGUUUUCUCGAAAAUCAAUUAAAAAUGGCUCGAUUUUGUAUUGCUUGAGACCUUAAAAGCUCACUGUACAUUUUUCGUGUCUUUUUUAAUGCACUUUUCGUUUAACAAGUCAACAUCAGUUUCUUUUGUUGUAAAAGGGUCAUUGGAAGGUGGCUUUCUUUUCGGAGAAAGUGUUUAUAGCCUUUGGCCUCUGCAAUCGGAGAGACUGAGGUCUGCAGCGUAGACUCUUCGGGGUUAGAUACAUUUGUGCUAAGUUAUAGCUUUUUAUAGACAACUUGUUGACUAUAAUUAGUCUUGUAGCUUACUCGCUUAUGCUAUUUUACCUACGCUUAGGAUGUUGACUGAUAUGUAGUCGUA
Molecule: ribosomal RNA, 775 nt
Filed under: uncultured Neocallimastigales
Lineage: Eukaryota; Fungi; Neocallimastigomycota; Neocallimastigomycetes; Neocallimastigales
Description: partial large subunit ribosomal RNA
Rfam family: Eukaryotic large subunit ribosomal RNA
Source: RNAcentral